AUUGACGGUACUGUAUGAAUAAGGAUCGGCUAACUCCGUGCCAGCAGCCGCGGUAAUACGGAGGAUCCGAGCGUUAUCCGGAAUUAUUGGGUUUAAAGGGUCCGUAGGCGGGAUAAUAAGUCAGUGGUGAAAGUUUGUGGCUCAACCAUAAAAUUGCCAUUGAUACUGUUAUUCUUGAGUUAUUGUGAAGUGGUUAGAAUGUGUAGUGUAGCGGUGAAAUGCAUAGAUAUUACACAGAAUACCAAUUGCGAAGGCAGAUCACUAACAAUGAACUGACGCUGAUGGACGAAAGCGUAGGUAGCGAACAGGAUUAGAUACCCUGGUAGUCUACGCAGUAAACGAUGGUUACUAGCUGUUUGGCAUAAUUGAGUGCUGAGUGGUUAAGCGAAAGUGAUAAGUAACCCACCUGGGGAGUACGUUCGCAAGAAUGAAACUCAAAGGAAUUGACGGGGGCCCGCGCAAGCGGUGGAGCAUGUGGUUUAAUUCGAUGAUACGCGAGGAACCUUACCAGGGCUUAAAUGCAGUCUGACAGGGGUGGAAACACCUUUUUCUUCGGACAGAUUGCAAGGUGCUGCAUGGUUGUCGUCAGCUCGUGCCGUGAGGUGUCAGGUUAAGUCCUAUAACGAGCGCAACCCCUAUGGUUAGUUGCUAGCAGGUAAUGCUGAGAACUCUAGCCAGACUGCCGGUGUAAACCGCGAGGAAGGUGGGGAUGACGUCAAAUCAUCACGGCCCUUACGUCCUGGGCUACACACGUGCUACAAUGGUAUGUACAAUGAGCAGCCACCACGCGAGUGGGCGCAAAUCUCAAAAGCAUAUCACAGUUCGGAUCGGAGUCUGCAACUCGACUCCG
This 850-nucleotide ribosomal RNA is filed under the name uncultured organism. Its description in RNAcentral is "bacterial SSU rRNA". It matches the Rfam family "Bacterial small subunit ribosomal RNA", at positions 468 to 1320 of the family's 1533-position model. The record is from RNAcentral.